RNAcentral lists this non-coding RNA (580 nucleotides) under Pan troglodytes (chimpanzee). Lineage: Eukaryota; Metazoa; Chordata; Mammalia; Primates; Hominidae. The record is from RNAcentral.
AGCCCUCAGCGUACAUGCCAGCUAAUUACAGAUGCAGGAGCAAACCCCUGGCCCAUACAUCAGUUGGGUGUGGUGACUCACACCUGCAAUCCCAGCACUUCAGGAGGCUGAGGAGAGCAGAUCACUUGCGGCCAGGAGUUCGAGACCAGUCUGGGCAACAUAAUGGAGUUUCGCUCUUGUUGCCCAGGCUGGAGUGCAACGGCACGAUCUCAGCUCACCGCAACCUCCACCUCCCAAGUUCAAGCAAUUCUCCUGCCUCAGCCUCCUGAGUAGCUGGAAUUACAGAUUUUGAGUCUUGCUCUAUGGCCCAGACUGGAGUGCAGUGGCGUGAUCUUGGCUCACUUCAACCUCCACCUCCCGGGUUCGAGAGAGAUUCUCCUGCCUCAUCCUCCCGAGUAGCUGGGAUCACCGGCGCCCACAACCACACCCGACUAAUUUUUGUACUUUUAGUGGAGACAGGGUUUCACCAUGUUGGCUAGGCUGGUCACAAACUCCCGACCUCAGGUUAUCCAUCUGCCUUGGCCUCCCAAAGUGCUGGGAUUACAGGCGUGAGCCCCCGCACCUGGCCAAGAUCAGCUAG